RNAcentral lists this small RNA (124 nucleotides) under Marmota monax (woodchuck). Lineage: Eukaryota; Metazoa; Chordata; Mammalia; Rodentia; Sciuridae. The record is from RNAcentral.
GCCAGGUGUAGUGGCCCAUGCCUGUAAUCCCAGCAGCUCAGGAGGCUGACACAGGAGGAUGGCGAGUUCAAAGCCAGCCUCAGCAACAAGUGAGGCACUGCAACUCAAUGAGAUCCUGUAUCUA